RNAcentral lists this ribosomal RNA (253 nucleotides) under uncultured bacterium. RNAcentral describes it as "partial 16S ribosomal RNA". It matches the Rfam family "Bacterial small subunit ribosomal RNA", at positions 524 to 776 of the family's 1533-position model. The record is from RNAcentral.
UACGUAGGGUGCGAGCGUUAAUCGGAAUUACUGGGCGUAAAGCGUGCGUAGGCGGUCCCGCAAGUCCGCUGUGAAAGCCCCGAGCUUAACUUGGGAACUGCAGUGGAAACUAUGGGACUUGAAUCCGGCAGAGGGGGGUGGAAUGCCACGUGUAGCAGUGAAAUGCGUAGAGAUGUGGCGGAACACCGAUGGCGAAGGCAGCCCCCUGGGCCAACACUGACGCUCAGGCACGAAAGCGUGGGGAGCAAACAGG